RNAcentral lists this ribosomal RNA (231 nucleotides) under SAR202 cluster bacterium. RNAcentral's name for it is "partial 23S ribosomal RNA". It matches the Rfam family "Bacterial large subunit ribosomal RNA", at positions 1 to 236 of the family's 2925-position model. The record is from RNAcentral. Lineage: Bacteria; Bacillati; Chloroflexota; Dehalococcoidia.
GGUCAAGUUAUUAAGGGCUUACGGUGGAUGCCUUGGGACCAAGAGCCGAUGAAGGGCGCGGCAAGGCUGCGUUAAGCCUCGAUGAGCCGUCUAGCGGGCAUAGUCGGGGAUACCCGAAUGGGGAAACCUUAUCCGGUGUUGAGUCGGAUAAUCCUUCCUGUAUAAGGGAGGAGGGCAAGUGGGGGAACUGAAACAUCUAAGUACCCCGAGGAAAAUAAAUCAACCGAGAUU